GUUAGGAUUUGCUAUUGGAUUGGUGACUGCCGUGAGCUGAUAACAUAUCAGGUCACUAUGAUCUCCCGUCCCUAUUGAUCGAGGAUGCUUUGCUGGUUCUGCCUUUGCUCGGCCAUCCCAUUGCAGGUUGCCACCAAUGGGAAUACAGCCAGUGGACUGGUUUUGCUUGUCAGCGACCAGAACAAGAACAAGUCAGUUCUAUCUAUACAUAUUCAACUUUGGGGAUGAUUGGAGGCUCUGUGUUCAUAGUUUAUAUGGGUCAUCUUUAUAUCUGGGCCAUGGUAGCUGUGAGAGCUUUUUAACCUACUCAGAAGAUCGAGCGAAGAGAAGCAACUGUCAGGGCUCAGGCUGCUGAAUUGGUAGCUUAUAUGGCAUUCUGAUUAUACUAUUUUUUGAACCAGAAAAUUGUCAAUGACUACAUAUAUCUUUGUGGAAACAAGUUUCAUCACUUCCUCACAGACACUUCUUCAUGGCAUUCUUAGUCGGGAGCUUGGUAACAACUUAAACUUCAGAUCAUUUGCUGUAUAGGGUUGUCAGCAGCAUAAUAAAGUGCCUGAAGUUUAUUCGCUAUUUUUCUUUAUAUUGCAGGUAAGGCUCAAUAUAUCUUUCAGUAUGCAAAUAAUUUCCAAUGAUGACGAUUUGUUUAAAGACUUCCAUCUCGUUUUAAGAAUAUUUUUAUCCUAUAAUAUGUGUAAAGAGCUUAUCGAGAUUAGAGUAAUAGACUGUAUCGUACCCAUGACAUUUACAGCCUGCUUGGUACUGAAUAUUGCAGGGAGAUGCACAGUACAUAUAAAACUAUGUAAGAAAAACUGUUUCUUGCACAUUUAGACGGAUUGUGAUAUAACUUAUAUAUUCCAUUUUACUGUAGUUUAGCAUGCUGUACAAUCCUACUAUCCAUGGAUGAUUGCGCCUGUUUCUUUCAUGCGGUCCAUUUUCCCUUCAGGAUAUGUUUUGAAAACAUGUUAUCAUGUAGAUUUGUGCAGUCAUGGUCAACUGGUACAGAUAUGUAUAGUUUCAAAAGAACAUUACAGAUAUGUAUAGUUUCAAAAGAACAGUACGACAACUAAUUAUCGCUGACUUGCAUCUCUCUUUUUGUUGUGUUGAUUGCUUUUGCCAAGUCAUUUUGUCCUUUACUAUAUUUAGUUAUUUACCAAUGCUUAACAAUACCACUUUUGCUUGGCUAUAGUAGAUCUUGCAGGUUGUAUGAUUCCUUUUAUACUUCCAAAUUUUUAUUAGUUACCACUAUAUACUUCCAAAUCUUGUACUGAAUCUGCUCAAUAGUAGAACAGAGUUCAGUUAUCUGAAUCAUAGCAGCACACACAUACACCGCAGUUCGUAAUGUCAUUUACUAGGGGUUGCGUUAGGGUAUUUUAUUUCCAUUAUAAACUGAUAAUAAUUAUGAGUUUAGUAAGGUAACAAUAAUCUGGGUUAUAGCAGAACAUUAGGUGUGGUAUGCUUGUAUGAGUAGAAUGUAGAGUUUAUAAAUGAACUAAAAUCUGAGAGCAGGAAGUGGUAGGUUUAAUUUCAGUUAGAAGAAUUGGUGUACUGCAGCAUCAUAUAUUCAGGUAAUUCCUUGCAUUUUUUUGCCAUGUUCAAGCUUUAUACAUCGUUUGUAUAUGCAUAAAGUACGUAACAUAAACUGGAGUUCGUAGUGUCAGGAGUAAGAAGGGUGCAACUAAGUAGUAGCAUGUUACAGGAUAAGAACGGCUGUUUAGUUUAACAAUGCCCUUUAACAGUGUAACUCCAAAGAGGUCGGAUAAAAUGAAUUAUUGAUAUAUCUGAACUCUAGAGUAUAAGAUGCAUCUUCCUACGCUUCCUGAGAUCACGGUUAUCGUACCUAUUUAUUUGAGAUAUGCUAAAUGUUCCUUUGAUAGUAGAUGCAACUUGCAGCUUUUGUGGACGUUCGUUUGUUUGUGGGAAAUUUUAUCUCUUCCCUACAGUCAAAGCUCAUGUGCAAUUUGGAGAGAAAUGCACGCAUGCUAUCGCUGCAUUUGACAAUUCCUUUUAGGUAUCAAGCCAAUAACGGCUUACGUUUCCUGGUCAUUUUUCUCUUGGAAAUGGAAGUUGUUGCUUCCUAGGUGAGCUAAGGCACGGGAAUGAGUUUGCACCUACUGUUGGAUUCUUCCUUACUACCCACCCGUCUCAGGUGGUCGUUCGUAGAUGGCAUGCUCAAGAGGAACACAUCAUAUUACAUGUGAACACUGAUAUCUUUGAAUGGCCUUACAUGUGGACACAACAGCCUGAACUUAAAUAGUACAAUCUAUAAUUGUAGCUAGCACAUCAACAAACAGCCAUGUGAAAACAUUAGUUUGCUGCCUUUAUUGCAUUUUUUGGAGCCGUAAUUCUUUUAUAGCAUUUCCUUGCCUUUAUUGCUUUGAAAAACACCAUUGAUCAUAAGCUGAUUGCGGCAGCAGGGUCGGAUAUUUAAGCAUACCUAGGAUAUUUAUAUUUUAGUUGGCAAACAGUUAUGCCAAUUUUGUGAUUUAUCUAUUUCUUUCACCUUUGGUCAUAAGCUGAUUGCGGCAGCAGGCUCGAGCUUGUGUGUUAAUCAAAAAAUUAAUUAAUCCGCUACCGGUGAGAAAUGUCUCCGGUGUGGUGCAAGUUAAUAUAUUCUGUACACAUAAAUAGUUAACAUAGUCUGUACCUGCCUCUUGGGUGAUUUUGUGAGUUGUGAUAGAUUGCUCCUGAUGAUGCCUCCUCUACAGAUUUCUAGGAUUCAAGGUCCCCUGACCUUGGCCAAGGACUAUGACAUGGAGUGACCUAUUAAUGUUGUUGACACAUCUUCUCUACAUUUAUCCUGUAUAAGCUCUUGUGUCAUACUUUAUUUAUAUACACACAUAUACCAUGUGCUUAUGUUGUUAUGAACACUUCUCCAUACAAUUUGAUCUUAGAGUACAUGGCUAUAUCUUGAUUAAAGAAUAUCAAGCACUCCAAUAGUCAUAAUUAAGACGUACAUAUUUAAGUACUCGAGCAUAUGGAGUAUCUCAUUACCUUCGCAGAUGUGAUCUCAAUGUUAUUUCGCUUCCCAUCUUUUUAUUGACAGAGAUGAUAUUUUACAGGUAUAAGGAUUCACUUCGAUUGCAGUUUCCCUACCCGAAGUUCAUCCACGGCUACUGGACUGACUGACACUUGGGCUUUGAUCAUGGAUGCAUGAAUAUGACAUCAGUCCAAAUAUUCCAGACAUAAAAUGUUCUUGUGAGAGUGUUGUCUCCCUACUUUUAUGGCAGAGAAUGGUGUGGCACCGAUGAUUGAUGGAGUAGGAUUUAACCAAGCUUGGUGUUACCAAGCUACACCCGUUAUCACCUGAAGUUAUCUCACGCCAAGCGAGGAUCAACAUUGGAGUUAAAGGUCAUAGUGGAAACGCCGCUUGGACUGCUUCUGGACUUCCACGGUGACACUAGGCUGUUCCAAGGCCAACUUGAGCUCCUCCUUGUGAUCCGUGUGUCGCAACAUGCAAGAAAAUCAAAUGAAGGAGUGUGGACAAAGACAAAGUUAUAUAUCAAGAAAAUUAGAUGAAGGCGUGUGGACAAAGUUAUAUAUCUAAUGGUCGACCAUGUAGUUUACUACUAUGGCCUGCUUUUGGUUUCUAUCAUACCAAACCUUGCUUAGGUUAGCGAAAACGGGAUUACGUAGGAGUUGAGGUUUGGCAAGUAGCAUCUCUUUGAUUAAGUCCAAACCAUAAUUGAGAGGCAUUGCAGUCGUGGGUCAGUUCAUAGAUAAUGCUAUGUUUUAUAUGGAAUACUUCAAUGGUUUUAUUACCGGGUUGGAUAUGAGUGCACCCGGAUACGGACAAGAGACCAACAAUAACAAAUAAUUGAUCAGGCUUUGUAAAAGCGGCAGGGAUCAAAUAGUAUCAUAUGUGCCAUUGCCUUCGAAAUUGAAAAGGGGAGACCGUCGCUCACUGUCCAUCAGCUUUAGAAUCGCAAGUGCAUCAUUGUUUACACAUAAAUCGUUCUAUACAAUGUAUCUAACGGAUUGACGGCAUCAGGUUAAUGUGACAUGUCGCCUAUGAAGUUGAUCGACAAGGCAGCUGAAUGAAGCAACUUAUUAGUAUGUCUAAUAGCUAUGGCUAUGUAGUUUUUUUACCUUUUUAUGUGUUCCUGCUCUUGGUACUUCCUCUCUCAUGUUCGUGAUCUUAGUACCAAACUUAAUUUCAAGUGGUUAGUUUUUGUGGUCUCAUGAGCGCACUAAAUCGAAUGUUGCCUUAUUUCUC
Triticum dicoccoides is the source of this 4213-nucleotide long non-coding RNA. RefSeq lists it as uncharacterized. The transcript has 10 exons. Lineage: Eukaryota; Viridiplantae; Streptophyta; Magnoliopsida; Poales; Poaceae. The record is from RefSeq and is a predicted model, not a curated record.